RNAcentral lists this ribosomal RNA (413 nucleotides) under uncultured microorganism. RNAcentral describes it as "bacterial SSU rRNA". It matches the Rfam family "Archaeal small subunit ribosomal RNA", at positions 459 to 872 of the family's 1478-position model. The record is from RNAcentral.
CAGCCGCCGCGGUAAUACCGGCCCCGCGAGUGGUCGGGGUGAUUAUUGGGCCUAAAGCGCCCGUAGCCGGCCCGGUAAGUCUCCCCUAAAAUCCCCGGGCUCAACCCGGGGAUUGGGGGAGAUACUGCCGGGCUAGGGGGCGGGAGAGGCCGAGGGUACUCCCGGGGUAGGGGCGAAAUCCGUUAAUCCCGGGAGGACCACCCGUGGCGAAGGCGCUCGGCUGGAACGCGCCCGACGGUGAGGGGCGAAAGCCGGGGGAGCGAACCGGAUUAGAUACCCGGGUAGUCCCGGCUGUAAACGAUGCGGGCUAGCUGUGGGGUGGGCUUAGAGCCCACCCAGUGGCGCGGGGAAGCCGUUAAGCCCGCCGCCUGGGGAGUACGGCCGCAAGGCUGAAACUUAAAGGAAUUGGCGGG